CCUUCGAACCUUAGGUAGCAUCUCUUUACGAAAGCCCAAAAUAAUCCUUUCAUCUUCUUUAAUUAUCUUUUUUAUGAUUUUAAAUUUUAUCUUUUUUAAAUUUUUUUAGUGUUUAAAUUUAUAUAAAUAAAUAUCACCAGAUUUUUUAUAUUUUUAUUUUUAUUUUAUUUAGUGAAAUAGGGAAGAUUUGGAGUGGAGUGGAAGUUAUGGAAAACAUUAAUAGUUGAAUUGAGAAUGAUGAAAAAUAAGAUGGCUGAAAUGUUAAGAAAGACAAAUGGAGUGCCUGGAGUAGAAAUGAUGAAGAAGGUUGGGGAUUUAAUUGGGAAAAAUGACAGGCUGCAUGAUUAAAAUGUGAAUCAGGGACAGUUGGGUGGUGGAGUUGUGAAGAAGGAAACUAUAUGAGGUUUGAAUUAAAAAAUCGGAGGGAUGGUAUGUGUUAAAUUACAGAAGAAGGAUGGAUCAAAUCUCA
Molecule: long non-coding RNA, 469 nt
Filed under: Linum usitatissimum (flax)
Lineage: Eukaryota; Viridiplantae; Streptophyta; Magnoliopsida; Malpighiales; Linaceae
Description: long non-coding RNA (LUSI_LNC003447)
Source: RNAcentral